This 440-nucleotide ribosomal RNA is filed under the name uncultured bacterium. Its description in RNAcentral is "partial 16S ribosomal RNA". It matches the Rfam family "Bacterial small subunit ribosomal RNA", at positions 338 to 795 of the family's 1533-position model. The record is from RNAcentral.
CCUACGGGUGGCAGCAGUUGGGAAUAUUGCACAAUGGGGGAAACCCUGAUGCAGCGACGCCGCGUGAGUGAAGAAGUAUUUCGGUAUGUAAAGCUCUUUCAGCAGGGAAGAAAAUUACGGUCCCUGACUAAGAAGCCUCGGCUAACUACGUGCCAGCAGCCGCGGUAAUACGUAGGGGGCCAGCGUUAUCCGGAUUUACUGGGUGUAAAGGGAGUGUAGGCGGAAAGGUAAGCAAGAAGUGAAAGCCCGCGGCGUAACUGGGGGACUGCUUGUGAAACUAUCGAGCUAGAUUGCAGGAGAGGGAAGUGGAAUUCCUAGUGUAGCGGUGAAAUGCGUAGAGAUUAGGAGGAACACCAGUGGCGAAGGCGGCUUACUGGACUGUAAAUGACGCUGAGGCUCGAAAGCGUGGGGAGCAAACAGGAUUAGAUACCCCUGUAGUC